This 960-nucleotide ribosomal RNA is filed under the name Enterococcus faecium. RNAcentral describes it as "bacterial SSU rRNA". The stretch from base 323 to 960 matches the Rfam family "Bacterial small subunit ribosomal RNA", at positions 875 to 1520 of the family's 1533-position model. The record is from RNAcentral. Lineage: Bacteria; Bacillati; Bacillota; Bacilli; Lactobacillales; Enterococcaceae.
UUUGUUUUUACUUUGUUCAGUUUUGAGAGGUUUACUCUCAAAUACUUUUGUUCAUUGAAAACUGGAUAUUUGAAGUAAAUGUAAGUAAUACAAACCGAGAACACCGCGUUGAAUUUGAAAGCUGAACAAAUUGUUUAGCCUGAAGCAAAAUAGGCGGACGGCCAUAAAAUCUUUGAUUUUAUGAGACGAUCGAUCUUUUUGCCGUACAGGCUGAUUUGUGAGCUGGAUAGAGUUUUUUAAUAAGUUCAAUUGCUUAUUUUCUUGAUCUAACUUCUAUCGCUAGAAGAAGGAUCAAAACCCAACCGUAAGGUUGAUAAGGUUAAGUGAAUAAGGGCGCACGGUGGAUGCCUUGGCACUAGGAGNGCACAAGCGGUGGAGCAUGUGGUUUAAUUCGAAGCAACGCGAAGAACCUUACCAGGUCUUGACAUCCUUUGACCACUCUAGAGAUAGAGCUUCCCCUUCGGGGGCAAAGUGACAGGUGGUGCAUGGUUGUCGUCAGCUCGUGUCGUGAGAUGUUGGGUUAAGUCCCGCAACGAGCGCAACCCUUAUUGUUAGUUGCCAUCAUUCAGUUGGGCACUCUAGCAAGACUGCCGGUGACAAACCGGAGGAAGGUGGGGAUGACGUCAAAUCAUCAUGCCCCUUAUGACCUGGGCUACACACGUGCUACAAUGGGAAGUACAACGAGUUGCGAAGUCGCGAGGCUAAGCUAAUCUCUUAAAGCUUCUCUCAGUUCGGAUUGCAGGCUGCAACUCGCCUGCAUGAAGCCGGAAUCGCUAGUAAUCGCGGAUCAGCACGCCGCGGUGAAUACGUUCCCGGGCCUUGUACACACCGCCCGUCACACCACGAGAGUUUGUAACACCCGAAGUCGGUGAGGUAACCUUUUUGGAGCCAGCCGCCUAAGGUGGGAUAGAUGAUUGGGGUGAAGUCGUAACAAGGUAGCCGUAUCGGAAGGUGCGGCUG